Molecule: ribosomal RNA, 301 nt
Filed under: uncultured bacterium
Lineage: Bacteria
Description: partial 16S ribosomal RNA
Rfam family: Bacterial small subunit ribosomal RNA
Source: RNAcentral
CAGUAGCCGCGGUAAAACGGAGGGUGCAAGCGUUAUCCGGAUUUACUGGGUUUAAAGGGUGCGUAGGCGGACUUGUAAGUCCGAGGUGAAAUCUCUGAGCUUAACUCGGAAACUGCCUUGGAUACUAUAGGUCUUGAAUCUCGUUAGGUUUGCGGAAUAUGUCAUGUAGCGGUGAAAUGCUUAGAUAUGACAUAGAACACCUAUUGCGAAGGCAGCAGGCUAAACGAGUAUUGACGCUGAUGCACGAAAGCGUGGGGAUCAAACAGGAUUAGAUACCCCCGUAGUCCCUGUCUCUUAUACA